GUGCUCGAUUCGGCAACACAUAUACUAAAAUUGGAAUGACACAGAGAUUAGCAUGGCCCCUGCACAAGGGUAAUACACAAAUUCACGAAGUGUUCCAUAUAAAA
This is a small nuclear RNA of Gorilla gorilla gorilla (western lowland gorilla), 104 nucleotides long. NCBI's taxonomy places the organism in Eukaryota, Metazoa, Chordata, Mammalia, Primates, Hominidae. The record is from Ensembl.